CACGAGCCCCAACCUCAGCCCCCCCGCCGGCCCAACUCUGGUGCGAACCCCUUGUGUGUUAUCAGAUGCUGGGAUCUGAGGCCUCUGCGCACCCCUUCCCUGUACCUGGACCGCACCCUGGGCCCUGGCCUCCACCUGGCAGGAAAAGGCUGAC
Molecule: long non-coding RNA, 154 nt
Organism: Suricata suricatta (meerkat)
Lineage: Eukaryota; Metazoa; Chordata; Mammalia; Carnivora; Herpestidae
Exons: 4
Source: RefSeq, a predicted model, not a curated record